UACGUAGGGCGCAAGCGUUGUCCGGAAUUAUUGGGCGUAAAGAGCUCGUAGGCGGUUUGUCGCGUCUGCUGUGAAAACCUAAGGCUCAACCUUGGGCUUGCAGUGGGUACGGGCAGACUAGAGUGCGGUAGGGGUGACUGGAAUUCCUGGUGUAGCGGUGGAAUGCGCAGAUAUCAGGAGGAACACCGAUGGCGAAGGCAGGUCUCUGGGCGAUUAACUGACGCUGGAGGAG
RNAcentral lists this ribosomal RNA (232 nucleotides) under uncultured bacterium. RNAcentral's name for it is "partial 16S ribosomal RNA". It matches the Rfam family "Bacterial small subunit ribosomal RNA", at positions 524 to 753 of the family's 1533-position model. The record is from RNAcentral.